CCUACGGGUGGCAGCAGUGGGGGAUAUUGCACAAUGGGGGCAACCCUGAUGCAGCGACGCCGCGUGGGUGAAGAAGUAUUUCGGUAUGUAAAGCCCUAUCAGCAGGGAAGAAAGAAGACGGUACCUGACUAAGAAGCCCCGGCUAACUACGUGCCAGCAGCCGCGGUCAUACGUAGGGGCCGCGCGUUAUCCGGGUUCACUGGGUGUAAAGGGAGCGUAGACGGCCGUGGAAGGCAGGAGUGAAAGCCUGGGGCCCAACCCCGGGACUGCAAUUGAAACUGUGCGGCUAGAGUGCGGGAGGGGCAGGCGGAAUUCGUGGUGUAGCGGUGAAAUGCGUAGAUAUCAGGAGGAACACCGGCGGCGAAGGCGGCCUGCUGGACCGCGACUGACGUUGAGGCUCGAAAGCGUGGGGAGCGAACAGGAUUAGAUACCCUUGUAGUC
RNAcentral lists this ribosomal RNA (441 nucleotides) under uncultured bacterium. Its description in RNAcentral is "partial 16S ribosomal RNA". It matches the Rfam family "Bacterial small subunit ribosomal RNA", at positions 338 to 795 of the family's 1533-position model. The record is from RNAcentral.